RNAcentral lists this ribosomal RNA (874 nucleotides) under uncultured bacterium. Its description in RNAcentral is "bacterial SSU rRNA". It matches the Rfam family "Bacterial small subunit ribosomal RNA", at positions 28 to 896 of the family's 1533-position model. The record is from RNAcentral.
GAUGAACGCUAGCGACAGGCCUAACACAUGCAAGUCGAGGGGCAGCAUAAAGGUAGCAAUACUUUGGUGGCGACCGGCGCACGGGUGAGUAACACGUAUGCAACCUACCUGUAAGUGGGGAAUAACCCGGAGAAAUUCGGACUAACACCGCAUAAUACUGAUUAUCUGCAUGGAUUUAUCAGUUAAAUAUUUAUAGCUUACAGAUGGGCAUGCGUAUGAUUAGCUAGUUGGUAGGGUAACGGCCUACCAAGGCAACGAUCAUUAGGGGUUCUGAGAGGAAGGUCCCCCACAUUGGAACUGAGACACGGUCCAAACUCCUACGGGAGGCAGCAGUGAGGAAUAUUGGUCAAUGGACGAGAGUCUGAACCAGCCAAGUCGCGUGAAGGAAGAAGGUUCUAUGGAUUGUAAACUUCUUUUGUAAGGGAAUAAAAAAGGCCACGUGUGGCUUCUUGUAUGUACUUUACGAAUAAGGAUCGGCUAACUCCGUGCCAGCAGCCGCGGUAAUACGGAGGAUCCGAGCGUUAUCCGGAUUUAUUGGGUUUAAAGGGUGCGUAGGCGGACCUGUAAGUCAGUGGUGAAAGUUUGCAGCUCAACUGUAAAAUUGCCAUUGAAACUAUUGGUCUUGAGUGUAAAUGAGGUAGGCGGAAUGUGUUGUGUAGCGGUGAAAUGCUUAGAUAUAACACAGAACACCAAUUGCGAAGGCAGCUUACUAGGAUACAACUGACGCUGAGGCACGAAAGCGUGGGGAUCAAACAGGAUUAGAUACCCUGGUGUCCACGCAGUAAACGAUGAAUACUAGCUGUAUGCGAUAUACUGUAUGUGGCAAAGCGAAAGCGUUAAGUAUUCCACCUGGGGGAGUACGUUCGCAAGAAUG